RNAcentral lists this transfer RNA (68 nucleotides) under Marmota monax (woodchuck). RNAcentral's name for it is "tRNA.Ala". The stretch from base 3 to 63 matches the Rfam family "tRNA", at positions 6 to 65 of the family's 71-position model. From Rfam's summary of the family: Transfer RNA (tRNA) molecules are approximately 80 nucleotides in length. The record is from RNAcentral. Lineage: Eukaryota; Metazoa; Chordata; Mammalia; Rodentia; Sciuridae.
GUUGUGGCUCAGUGGUAGAGCACUUGCCUGGCAUGUGUGAAGUCCUGGGUGCGAUCCUCAGCACCACA